AUUGAACGCUGGCGGCAGGCCUAACACAUGCAAGUCGAGCGGUAGCACAGAGAGCUUGCUCUCGGGUGACGAGCGGCGGACGGGUGAGUAAUGUCUGGGAAACUGCCUGAUGGAGGGGGAUAACUACUGGAAACGGUAGCUAAUACCGCAUAACGUCGCAAGACCAAAGUGGGGGACCUUCGGGCCUCAUGCCAUCAGAUGUGCCCAGAUGGGAUUAGCUAGUAGGUGGGGUAACGGCUCACCUAGGCGACGAUCCCUAGCUGGUCUGAGAGGAUGACCAGCCACACUGGAACUGAGACACGGUCCAGACUCCUACGGGAGGCAGCAGUGGGGAAUAUUGCACAAUGGGCGCAAGCCUGAUGCAGCCAUGCCGCGUGUGUGAAGAAGGCCUUCGGGUUGUAAAGCACUUUCAGCGGGGAGGAAGGCGAUAAGGUUAAUAACCUUGGCGAUUGACGUUACCCGCAGAAGAAGCACCGGCUAACUCCGUGCCAGCAGCCGCGGUAAUACGGAGGGUGCAAGCGUUAAUCGGAAUUACUGGGCGUAAAGCGCACGCAGGCGGUCUGUCAAGUCGGAUGUGAAAUCCCCGGGCUCAACCUGGGAACUGCAUUCGAAACUGGCAGGCUAGAGUCUUGUAGAGGGGGGUAGAAUUCCAGGUGUAGCGGUGAAAUGCGUAGAGAUCUGGAGGAAUACCGGUGGCGAAGGCGGCCCCCUGGACAAAGACUGACGCUCAGGUGCGAAAGCGUGGGGAGCAAACAGGAUUAGAUACCCUGGUAGUCCACGCCGUAAACGAUGUCGAUUUGGAGGUUGUGCCCUUGAGGCGUGGCUUCCGGAGCUAACGCGUUAAAUCGACCGCCUGGGGAGUACGGCCGCAAGGUUAAAACUCAAAUGAAUUGACGGGGGCCCGCACAAGCGGUGGAGCAUGUGGUUUAAUUCGAUGCAACGCGAAGAACCUUACCUGGUCUUGACAUCCACAGAACUUAGCAGAGAUGCUUUGGUGCCUUCGGGAACUGUGAGACAGGUGCUGCAUGGCUGUCGUCAGCUCGUGUUGUGAAAUGUUGGGUUAAGUCCCGCAACGAGCGCAACCCUUAUCCUUUGUUGCCAGCGGUCCGGCCGGGAACUCAAAGGAGACUGCCAGUGAUAAACUGGAGGAAGGUGGGGAUGACGUCAAGUCAUCAUGGCCCUUACGACCAGGGCUACACACGUGCUACAAUGGCAUAUACAAAGAGAAGCGACCUCGCGAGAGCAAGCGGACCUCAUAAAGUAUGUCGUAGUCCGGAUUGGAGUCUGCAACUCGACUCCAUGAAGUCGGAAUCGCUAGUAAUCGUAGAUCAGAAUGCUACGGUGAAUACGUUCCCGGGCCUUGUACACACCGCCCGUCACACCAUGGGAGUGGGUUGCAAAAGAAGUAGGUAGCUUAACCUUCGGGAGGGCGCUUACCACUUUGUGAUUCAUGACUGGGGUG
RNAcentral lists this ribosomal RNA (1462 nucleotides) under Klebsiella quasipneumoniae. Its description in RNAcentral is "bacterial SSU rRNA". It matches the Rfam family "Bacterial small subunit ribosomal RNA". The record is from RNAcentral. Lineage: Bacteria; Pseudomonadati; Pseudomonadota; Gammaproteobacteria; Enterobacterales; Enterobacteriaceae.